This is a long non-coding RNA of Xenia sp. Carnegie-2017, 611 nucleotides long. RefSeq lists it as uncharacterized. The record is from RefSeq and is a predicted model, not a curated record. The transcript has 2 exons. NCBI's taxonomy places the organism in Eukaryota, Metazoa, Cnidaria, Anthozoa, Malacalcyonacea, Xeniidae.
AAAAGUCGUUCACGAAUUCAGCAAAGAUGUUGACGAACGUCGAAGACUUCAAAUGGCUUACAUCACCACCACUUCAGACUCUUUAACACAAGUUUCUAGAGGCUACUGUAAAAUAUAUUGUCAAGAAAGAAGAAAUGCAGUCGUGUGUGUACUUGACCAUAUCUAACCAAAUAUUCACGGCAUUCCUACGCCAAAAUGGUCAACAUCUAUCCUACGAAUGGCUUUGUAAUAAAGUCGAAAAUUUACAGUUUCUAUCUGCGUCUUGGUGUGAGUGAUACAUUGUAUUCUCAGCACGUAAUGUACAGCUGCUGAAACAAAUAUGUACCGGCUAACCUUGGUGAAAUACUGUACAGAUACCAAAAUUAUGUCGACAUGCUUUCUUCGACGUCUCACGAAAGAAUAGAUCUCGUGGUGAGAAACUAUAUUAAUGUAUUGCUGUCGUGGGACUAGACUAGCCGCUAAAAGAAAUCUGCAUUGCUGAGCCGUAGGAAAACGUGCUGCUUUUGAAAGACUUACUUGUCUCUAUCUUUUUCAAAAGAAGACAUUAGUAACUAUAGAUGUUUUGCUAAUGUAUUGCCAAACUAACAUUAAAAUAAAUGUAUUUAUUUGUA